RNAcentral lists this ribosomal RNA (254 nucleotides) under uncultured bacterium. Its description in RNAcentral is "partial 16S ribosomal RNA". It matches the Rfam family "Bacterial small subunit ribosomal RNA", at positions 524 to 776 of the family's 1533-position model. The record is from RNAcentral.
UACGUAGGGUGCGAGCGUUGUCCGGAAUUAUUGGGCGUAAAGAGCUCGUAGGCGGUGUGUCGCGUCGGCCGUGAAAACUUGGGGCUUAACUCUGAGCGUGCGGUCGAUACGGGCAUCACUUGAGUUCGGCAGGGGAGACUGGAAUUCCUGGUGUAGCGGUGAAAUGCGCAGAUAUCAGGAGGAACACCGGUGGCGAAGGCGGGUCUCUGGGCCGAUACUGACGCUGAGGCGCGAAAGCCAGGGGAGCGAACGGG